AGGCUUAACACAUGCAAGUCGAGCGGAGAUGAGGUGCUUGCACCUUAUCUUAGCGGCGGACGGGUGAGUAAUGCUUAGGAAUCUGCCUAUUAGUGGGGGACAACAUUCCGAAAGGAAUGCUAAUACCGCAUACGUCCUACGGGAGAAAGCAGGGGAUCUUCGGACCUUGCGCUAAUAGAUGAGCCUAAGUCGGAUUAGCUAGUUGGUGGGGUAAAGGCCUACCAAGGCGACGAUCUGUAGCGGGUCUGAGAGGAUGAUCCGCCACACUGGGACUGAGACACGGCCCAGACUCCUACGGGAGGCAGCAGUGGGGAAUAUUGGACAAUGGGGGGAACCCUGAUCCAGCCAUGCCGCGUGUGUGAAGAAGGCCUUAUGGUUGUAAAGCACUUUAAGCGAGGAGGAGGCUACCGUGACUAAUACUCAAGGAGAGUGGACGUUACUCGCAGAAUAAGCACCGGCUAACUCUGUGCCAGCAGCCGCGGUAAUACAGAGGGUGCGAGCGUUAAUCGGAUUUACUGGGCGUAAAGCGUGCGUAGGCGGCUUUUUAAGUCGGAUGUGAAAUCCCCGAGCUUAACUUGGGAAUUGCAUUCGAUACUGGGAAGCUAGAGUAUGGGAGAGGAUGGUAGAAUUCCAGGUGUAGCGGUGAAAUGCGUAGAGAUCUGGAGGAAUACCGAUGGCGAAGGCAGCCAUCUGGCCUAAUACUGACGCUGAGGUACGAAAGCAUGGGGAGCAAACAGGAUUAGAUACCCUGGUAGUCCAUGCCGUAAACGAUGUCUACUAGCCGUUGGGGGCCUUUGAGGCUUUAGUGGCGCAGCUAACGCGAUAAGUAGACCGCCUGGGGGAGUACGGUCGCAAGACUAAAAACUCAAAUGAAUUUGACGGGGGCCCGCACAAGCGGUGGAGCAUGUGGUUUAAUUUCGAUGCAACGCGAAGAACCUUACCUGGGCCCUUGACAUACUAGAAACUUUCCAGAGAUGG
RNAcentral lists this ribosomal RNA (978 nucleotides) under Acinetobacter junii. Its description in RNAcentral is "bacterial SSU rRNA". It matches the Rfam family "Bacterial small subunit ribosomal RNA", at positions 44 to 1009 of the family's 1533-position model. The record is from RNAcentral. Lineage: Bacteria; Pseudomonadati; Pseudomonadota; Gammaproteobacteria; Moraxellales; Moraxellaceae.